CCCGCACAAGCGGUGGAGCAUGUGGUUUAAUUCGAUGCAACGCGAAGAACCUUUACCUGGGCUUGACAUCCCGAGAAUCCCCUGGAAACAGGGGAGUGCCUUUCGGGGAACUCGGAGACAGGUGCUGCAUGGCUGUCGUCAGCUCGUGUCGUGAGAUGUUGGGUUAAGUCCCGCAACGAGCGCAACCCUUGUCUUUAAUUGCCAGCAUUCAGUUGGGCACUUUAAAGAGACUGCCGGUGUUAAGCCGGAGGAAGGUGGGGAUGACGUCAAGUCCUCAUGGCCUUUAUGCCCAGGGCUACACACGUGCUACAAUGGGUGGUACAAAGAGAUGCCAACUCGCGAGAGCGCGCCAAUCUCAGAAAGCCAUCCUCAGUUCGGAUUGGAGUCUGCAACUCGACUCCAUGAAGUUGGAAUCGCUAGUAAUCGCGGAUCAGCACGCCGCGGUGAAUACGUUCCCGGGCCUU
Molecule: ribosomal RNA, 464 nt
Filed under: uncultured Syntrophus sp.
Lineage: Bacteria; Pseudomonadati; Thermodesulfobacteriota; Syntrophia; Syntrophales; Syntrophaceae
Description: bacterial SSU rRNA
Rfam family: Bacterial small subunit ribosomal RNA
Source: RNAcentral